RNAcentral lists this long non-coding RNA (1481 nucleotides) under Salvia miltiorrhiza (redroot sage). Its description in RNAcentral is "long non-coding RNA (SMIL_LNC000588)". The record is from RNAcentral. Lineage: Eukaryota; Viridiplantae; Streptophyta; Magnoliopsida; Lamiales; Lamiaceae.
CGAAGCAAAAGUUAUGUAGACUGAAGGAUUUAAUUGUGGUAAUUUAUCACAUUACAUGGUACAUCACAUUCACCUACUCUAUCAGCUACAUCAAGCUUGUCAAAAGAAAACAAUGCAACGUGCAUACAACAGCCCCUCCCUCCUUUUUCCUGUGCAAAAGCCACGAAUUCAGAUCAAGCCAUGCUCCCUCUGCUGCCAACUUUCAGCCAAGCCAUACUCUUGGUACAUGUAGGGGGUCAAUCAGCCACCCUACGUUGCCCAUCCCUUCAAAAUACUCAAGUGUAGCCAACAACCAUUUUCCAUUAUAUCUCCAGCUAGCAAAUUCGUAUCUUUUUCUUUCUUAAUGCAUCUUCACUAAGAGAGGAUUUUGAUUCAGCUUCUAGCAGACUUAGAGAGGUAAGAGUGGCUAACUCCUUCACCAUUUCUUUCUUGAGUUCAGUCUGAAAUUGCUAAACAAAACAUAGCACAACAGAGAGCCAAAAGAACAAACAUUCAAGGUAUUUACUAUAUCAGUAUGUUCUCUCCCACGUUACAUGCUUCACACGCAUCAAAUCCACGCUUCAGUAUAUAUGUAUAAAUACGGAGUAAUUAGAGGAAUGCACAAUCUUUUAUUUCGAGACUGACGCUAUGUGAAUUUCCAUAUGACAAAGUAGCAAUAUGAACCAAAACCACACCACCUAGUCUAAAUUCUUGCUUCAUCGAAUUGAAUAAUAGAAUAUCAAGGCUUUGAGAGAUUUAUGAACACUAGGGUAUCAAAACUAGAAGAAAGACCCUAGCUUGCUUAAUUGAGAUGUAGUACCUGAGUUGGAGAGAAUGUCGGAACGGUGGCUGCCCUGUUUUGACGAGGCGGAGUGGCCGUCGGCGACAGUGAGGCUUCCAGAGAGGCGUACACAACAGAGGAGCAGGCGACGAUUCAUGGAGACUUGAGAGCCGACAUCGACUUCCGAAGGCGUGCAGCGGCGCUUGGUAACGACAGCCCACAUGGGCCUAUUACUCAUCGGGAAUCAGGGAGAAUCCGUUGGAACCCCGUGACGGUGGCAACUCAGGGAGCCGGAGCCGGUAGCACGGCGGACGGACUCUAAGAGAGGCAGCAACGGUUCCGCCUGAAUCAGCAGAGAGCUAGGGCUCGUUCCGAAAGGGGGAAACUCGCCUGUGCAUUUCGGUGAGAGAGUAAGAGGUAGAGUGAGCGACGAUCCUUCUGAGAAGAGAGCAGACGACACGAGCCGGCCACUGCUCGCCGGAAAUCGAAAGCAGCAGCGAUGAUUUUGAUGAGAGCGUUAGGGCUCAUUUCGAAAGGGGAAACCAGGGCACGAUAUGUGAAAGGAAUUGGAAUUGAGAGAAAAGAGAGAAAGAAGAGCAGAUGUGGCGGGGAAGCAGCGCCGAUGACCGGCGUGACGGCGACCUCGCCGGUCUUCCAGAUGCGGCGGCUUUCUCAAAGGGGGAGAGAGGAAUUGAAAGAAAGAGUGUGGAGAAUGAAGGCU